Molecule: long non-coding RNA, 393 nt
Organism: Zerene cesonia (dogface butterfly)
Lineage: Eukaryota; Metazoa; Arthropoda; Insecta; Lepidoptera; Pieridae
Exons: 3
Source: RefSeq, a predicted model, not a curated record
AACUUUACAAAUGAGGUACAUGGGUAAAGUAUUUUAUUGAGUUUUUAUAUCAUUUACUGUUCCGAAUUACAUACAAAAGAGUAUUCAUUCUAUUGGCUAUGGAGUAUAUUUUAAUUGUCGAAUAUGACUCUACCAGUGAAACUACUUGUAAUGUUAAGGCAUUACCUGCAACGAUUCAAAAUAAUUUAGAAAACUAUUUCAAAGCUCAUAAUGUAAAGUGUAAUAAUCAAAAAAACUAUUUUGAAGUCGACGUAGAAGGAAUAAGGGUUUUAAAUGUGUUAUGUGAAUCUGGUUACAAUUACAGAGUUGUCAGCCAAUCCAUGGCAAUCGACACAACAAAUAUUGGUGGGAGAUCCGUGAAAAUUCAAAAAACUGUUUGGACACUCGCAAAAG